RNAcentral lists this ribosomal RNA (571 nucleotides) under uncultured bacterium. RNAcentral describes it as "bacterial SSU rRNA". It matches the Rfam family "Bacterial small subunit ribosomal RNA", at positions 369 to 935 of the family's 1533-position model. The record is from RNAcentral.
UGAAGGGGGCACCGUAUCCAGNCAUGCCGCGUGAGUGAAGAUGGCCUUCGGGUUGUAAAGCUCUUUUGUCAGGGAAGAAACGGUUUUGGCUAAUAUCCAGAGCUAAUGACGGUACCUGAAGAAUAAGCACCGGCUAACUACGUGCCAGCAGCCGCGGUAAUACGUAGGGUGCAAGCGUUAAUCGGAAUUACUGGGCGUAAAGCGUGCGCAGGCGGUUUUGUAAGACUGUCGUGAAAUCCCCGGGCUCAACCUGGGAAUGGCGAUGGUGACUGCAAGGCUAGAGUUUGGCAGAGGGGGGUAGAAUUCCACGUGUAGCAGUGAAAUGCGUAGAUAUGUGGAGGAACACCGAUGGCGAAGGCAGCCCCCUGGGUCAAAACUGACGCUCAUGCACGAAAGCGUGGGGAGCAAACAGGAUUAGAUACCCUGGUAGUCCACGCCCUAAACGAUGUCUACUAGUUGUCGGGUCUUAAUUGACUUGGUAACGCAGCUAACGCGUGAAGUAGACCGCCUGGGGAGUACGGUCGCAAGAUUAAAACUCAAAGGAAUUGACGGGGACCCGCACAAGCGGUGG